GAGGUAGUGACAAGAAAUAACAAUACAGGGCUAAUGUCUUGUAAUUGGAAUGAUGGUGACCCAAACCCUCACCAGAGUAGCAAUUGGAGGGCAAGUCUGGUGCCAGCAGCCGCGGUAAUUCCAGCUCCAAUAGCGUAUAUUAAACUUGUUGCAGUUAAAAAGCUCGUAGUUGAAUUUUAGCGUGUUCGAGUUUGCCAUUCGUUUGGCUUUUUCGAGUUCGCUUUUGGGUUUUCCCUUUUUACUUUGAGAAAAUUAGAGUGUUUCAAGCAGACUUUUGUCUUGAAUACUUCAGCAUGGAAUAAUAGAGUAGGACUUUGGUUCUAUUUUGUUGGUUAUUGAACCUUAGUAAUGGUUAAUAGGAACGG
RNAcentral lists this ribosomal RNA (365 nucleotides) under Babesia vogeli. RNAcentral describes it as "SSU rRNA". It matches the Rfam family "Eukaryotic small subunit ribosomal RNA", at positions 461 to 881 of the family's 1831-position model. The record is from RNAcentral. Lineage: Eukaryota; Apicomplexa; Aconoidasida; Piroplasmida; Babesiidae.